GGUCUCCUGCUGCUGGUGAGGCGGCCGAGGAGCCGCAGCUCUCAGGCCACGAGCAGCCUCUGUCUCCCGAGGCCUCAGAGGCCGCGGCCAACACCCUCGUGGGAGGCGCUUUCAGACGAAGGAUGCCACCCGCCUGGUCCGGAGGAAACUCAGCCGCAGCAACAGCCGCACCUGCUCCUCAGCAUCCUCCCCGACGGGGACCCAGAAGAGAGAGAUGGGCUUCAGGAAGCUUCCCUGCAGGACGCUCGCUGUGAAGGCAGCACCUAGAAGUGGAAGGAGCGGGGGUCCCGGAACCAGCACUUAGCUUACUGCCCUGGAGGGCCCCGGGUCUGCAGGGCACGGGGACCCGAGGGACAAACCACCAUCACCACAGGGCACGGAGUGCCCCGCGACUCGGAAAGUCAGGCCACGCAGCUGCAAACUGUGAAGCUGGAACGUGGGCCCCAGUCCCUCCAGUAUGGCAGCUCCAGGGCAGCCAGACUCGUACAUGGUGGCCCAGGCUCCACACAACAGGUGUCACAAGACACCCAGGCAGAGGCCACGUCACCUUCUGGGUUCUCCCUUGGAAGUCCUGCAACGUCACGUCCACCUGCUCUGUGGGUUGAGGCUGUCACAAGAGACCCACCCCUGGUUCAAGGGGAAGGAUGUAGGUGUCACCGCUUGAUGGGACAGUGACAACUCCAGAAGCUUGUUUCCGAGGGGCUGUGAGCUGCACCCGCGCUGGGCCUUUGCGGGGGAGCACUGGAGUGGGGUCACAGGCAGCUCUCGGCUUUAAAGACGCUGCUGUGUGUCUGUGUAGCCCAUCACGCCUGGCUGCUGGGCAGCCCUGCAGAGUGUCUGACCGCCUAGCCUGCCCCUCCCAGGGUGAGGACUCCAGGGUGCCCCCACCUCCCCGGGCACAGUGAUGCUGGAGGGGCAUCCUCAGACGUGCCCUCUCAAUCCCCGAGCAGGACCAUCCCAGGCAGCAAGCUUCCUCCGAGCACCGGGCACUCUGGCUGUAUCGUCUCAGAACGCCGGGCAGAAGGUGGAGGAAGGAGACAGAGCUCACUCUGCUGGCCUCUCGGUUCUUGAAGAAAUUAGAGAUGCUGGGUUUUGAGCAGGGAGGAAGAGGAACGCCUUUGAUGCCCAGGGCAUGCUGCCCCCUGCAGGAUGCUGCAGCCUGCGGGGUGUACAAGAGAGAGAACAUCCUGGAGAGAGGGCACCGGGCGAGGUGGGCAGUGCGGCAGAGCCAGGAGACCAUGCCCAGGAGAGGUGUGAGUGUAGAGCAGCGGCAUCAGAGGUUGCCUCCAACGUGUUGGGAUAACGACGUUCGAACUUAACGAAAACGUGAUAGAACUUUGCAGUGAAGGCCCACACACCCACCCCCUGGAUUCUCCAACUGACAUCUGCUUUUACGCACGUUGUCACCUACCUAUCCUACUAGAGCCGCUUCUCUCUAUCCAGUCAACAAGCCGUCUUACAGUUCAAAUAUUUCAAAAUGAAUUGGGACAUCGGUGCCUUUCACCCUUAAACACUUCAGCACAUACUCUAAACGAGUCCAGCAUUGGUUUACCCCCCUUUGUUUUUGCUUUUGGGGUAAAAUAUGUUUGCAAUAAAACGCACAAG
RNAcentral lists this long non-coding RNA (1605 nucleotides) under Sus scrofa (pig). Its description in RNAcentral is "lncRNA (ENSSSCG00000046754.2, ENSSSCG00090005228.1)". The record is from RNAcentral. Lineage: Eukaryota; Metazoa; Chordata; Mammalia; Artiodactyla; Suidae.